AUCCCACAAACUUUCGCAGGCACAAAUUCGAAUGACUUUCAGCCCCAGGAAGCAGCGCCCUCCGCGGGCAAACUUUUCUUUGGGUGUCAUCUAAGGGGCGGCACGCUAACAGGCAGAGCCGAAGCUUCUCUUUUCCUCACGGCUUCCCCCUCUAAUGCCCCCGGGCCUCCUCCUGCCCCCGCUCCCGUUCGCCGGCAACCCGCUCACCAUGUAGAGCAUAUUGGAGGCAGAGGGCUUGACUUGGCUGCGGAACUUGUUGUGGAUGUCGAUGUAUUGCUUGAUAAAGGAUGAGUUUCAAUAAGGAUGAGCAGUCCACACUCCUACCACCAGUCCAUUACCUCUGAACAACUUUUGUGGCCUUUUGAAUUCUAUCUGCAGUUGUUGAAACUAAAGGAACAAAAUAUUGCCAUUUUGAGCUGGGAAAAACAUAACUACAGUGUUAUCCCUAAAAUGAACAUUUUGUUUUGUUCAUUUUAUUGACUGUACUUGUUGUGACCCCGACUCCCGAGCCUAUCUUAACAGAGGAAGAGGACUCAGAAGGUGAUGGGGAGGAACUGACAAGGCCUCCCUCUCCAGGACCCUCCUUUCUGGCAAUGCCUCAGGUUUCAUCCGAAGGCCAGGAGGAACAGCCUGGGAUGUGCCAGGAGGAAGGCAUAUCGGAGUACCAAUUGAUAGGGAGCAAGGAUGAUGAAUCCUGGCUUGAUCCCAGGCAGCAUCGGAGGGAGAAAUGUGCGCAGCAAUGGAAGAGGCGUGGGAGGGCCAGAGAUUGAGCUGAGUCACGGAGCCACGUCCCACCAGGAAUAAAAGUGGGUGGGAUUGCUCUUCAGGCUUUGUGACAGACAAAGUUAAACCCUGAAAGUCACAUCGUGGUCUCUGAAAUUCGGCUUGGAUAUAUUUUGGACUGAACAUUGACUAAACUCUUGUCUCGUGGAUAAUUUGUUGCUCCUGGAACGGACUGAAGAUAAGUCAUUUUCUGCUUUAUGGGAGUGAAAACAGUCUUGGCAGGCAUUCAGAAGUUUGCUGCCAAAACCUUGGUCUGCCAAGAAUUCUAAUCUGUUUACCUAAUAAAAUAUUGGCAGGCGUGCUUGGUAUUACGUUUGCCUGUGUGAGGAAGGGGGACAGAACAGUACUUUUAUUGGUGAAUGACUGAAAUAAAGUUGUCUGUCUUACUAUA
Pantherophis guttatus is the source of this 1174-nucleotide non-coding RNA. The record is from RefSeq and is a predicted model, not a curated record. NCBI's taxonomy places the organism in Eukaryota, Metazoa, Chordata, Lepidosauria, Squamata, Colubridae.